This 378-nucleotide unclassified non-coding RNA is filed under the name uncultured Chlamydiales bacterium. Its description in RNAcentral is "contains 16S-23S intergenic spacer region". The record is from RNAcentral. Lineage: Bacteria; Pseudomonadati; Chlamydiota; Chlamydiia; Chlamydiales.
UCCUGGUUAACCCAGGCAGUCUCGCUAGAGUUCCCGCCAUUACGCGUUGGCAACUAGCAAUAAGGGUUGCGCUCGUUGCGGGACUUAACCCAACACCUCACGGCACGAGCUGACGACAGCCAUGCAGCACCUGUGCAGAGGCCCCGAAGGGAAAUAACAUUUCUGCUAUCGUCCUCUGCAUGUCAAGCCUGGGUAAGGUUCUUCGCGUUGCAUCGAAUUAAACCACAUGCUCCACUGCUUGUGCGGGUCCCCGUCAAUUCUUUUGAGUUUCACCCUUGCGAGCGUACUCCCCAGGCGGCAUACUUAAUACGUUAGUUGCGGCACAACCAGGGUUGAGUCCGGUUACGCCUAGUAUGCAUCGUUUACGGCAAGGACUAC